AGGCAAGACUUUGGCAAAGC
Molecule: microRNA, 20 nt
Filed under: Caenorhabditis elegans
Lineage: Eukaryota; Metazoa; Nematoda; Chromadorea; Rhabditida; Rhabditidae
Description: cel-miR-266
Gene: cel-miR-266
Source: miRBase by way of RNAcentral